GCUGGGCACGGUGGCUCAUGCCUGUAAUCCCAGCACUUUGGGAGGCUGAGGCAGGUGGAUCACCUGAGGUCAGGAGUUCAAGACCAGCCUGGCCAACAUGGUGAAACCCUGUCUCUA
RNAcentral lists this non-coding RNA (117 nucleotides) under Homo sapiens (human). Lineage: Eukaryota; Metazoa; Chordata; Mammalia; Primates; Hominidae. The record is from Rfam by way of RNAcentral.